UACGUAGGGGGCAAGCGUUGUCCGGAUUUAUUGGGCGUAAAGAGCGUGUGAGCGGCUUGGUAGGUCUGCUGUGAAAACUCGGGGCUCGAACCCCGAGACGUCGGUGGAAACCACCUGGCUAGAGUCCGGAAGAGGAGAGUGGAAUUCCUGGUGUAGCGGGUGAAAUGCGCAGAUAUCAGGAAGAAUAUCCGUGGCGAAGGCGGCUCUCUGGUACGGCACUGACGCUGAGACGCGAAAGCGUGGGGAGCGAACAGG
Molecule: ribosomal RNA, 255 nt
Filed under: uncultured bacterium
Lineage: Bacteria
Description: partial 16S ribosomal RNA
Rfam family: Bacterial small subunit ribosomal RNA
Source: RNAcentral